This 605-nucleotide ribosomal RNA is filed under the name Trichoderma virens. RNAcentral describes it as "eukaryotic LSU rRNA". The stretch from base 233 to 386 matches the Rfam family "5.8S ribosomal RNA". The record is from RNAcentral. Lineage: Eukaryota; Fungi; Ascomycota; Sordariomycetes; Hypocreales; Hypocreaceae.
CUCGUCUCGUUGGUGACAGCGGAGGGUCAUUACCGAGUUUACAACUCCCAAACCCAAUGUGAACGUUACCAAACUGUUGCCUCGGCGGGAUCUCUGCCCCGGGUGCGUCGCAGCCCCGGACCAAGGCGCCCGCCGGAGGACCAACCAAAACUCUUAUUGUAUACCCCCUCGCGGGUUUUUUACUAUCUGAGCCAUCUCGGCGCCCCUCGUGGGCGUUUCGAAAAUGAAUCAAAACUUUCAACAACGGAUCUCUUGGUUCUGGCAUCGAUGAAGAACGCAGCGAAAUGCGAUAAGUAAUGUGAAUUGCAGAAUUCAGUGAAUCAUCGAAUCUUUGAACGCACAUUGCGCCCGCCAGUAUUCUGGCGGGCAUGCCUGUCCGAGCGUCAUUUCAACCCUCGAACCCCUCCGGGGGGUCGGCGUUGGGGGAUCGGCCCUUUACGGGGCCGGCCCCGAAAUACAGUGGCGGUCUCGCCGCAGCCUCUCCUGCGCAGUAGUUUGCACACUCGCAUCGGGAGCGCGGCGCGUCCACAGCCGUUAAACACCCCAAACUUCUGAAAUGUUGACCUCGGAUCAGGUAGGAAUACCCGCUGAACUUAAGCAUACUA